Molecule: long non-coding RNA, 203 nt
Organism: Dermochelys coriacea (leatherback sea turtle)
Lineage: Eukaryota; Metazoa; Chordata; Testudines; Dermochelyidae
Exons: 3
Source: RefSeq, a predicted model, not a curated record
CUUUUGACAUGAUUUGUUCCUGACAAAUCCAUGCUGACUGUUACUUAGCAUCUUAUUAUCUUUUAGAUGUUUGCGAACUUAUUGUUUAAUUAUCUGCUACAUUAUCUUUCUGGGUACAGAAGUUAAGAUCCCUGGUCUGUAAUUCCCCAGGUUGUCCUUAUUCCCCUUUUUAUAGAUUGGCAUCAUGUUUGCGCUCUCACAGU